UACGAAGGGGGCUAGCGUUGCUCGGAAUUACUGGGCGUAAAGCGCACGUAGGCGGAUCGUUAAGUCGGGGGUGAAAUCCUGGAGCUCAACUCCAGAACUGCCUUCGAUACUGGCGAUCUCGAGUUCGGGAGAGGUGAGUGGAACUGCGAGUGUAGAGGUGAAAUUCGUAGAUAUUCGCAAGAACACCAGUGGCGAAGGCGGCUCACUGGCCCGAUACUGACGCUGAGGUGCGAAAGCGUGGGGAGCAAACAGG
This 253-nucleotide ribosomal RNA is filed under the name uncultured bacterium. Its description in RNAcentral is "partial 16S ribosomal RNA". It matches the Rfam family "Bacterial small subunit ribosomal RNA", at positions 524 to 776 of the family's 1533-position model. The record is from RNAcentral.